UUUGAGAGGUAUAUGACAAC
RNAcentral lists this unclassified non-coding RNA (20 nucleotides) under Mus musculus (house mouse). RNAcentral's name for it is "oocyte_clustered_small_RNA1907". The record is from RNAcentral. Lineage: Eukaryota; Metazoa; Chordata; Mammalia; Rodentia; Muridae.